AGCUUGUUUAUUCUGCUGUGGAGCUGUGAUCUUUCUACUUUUUACUUGCUGCAUAUUAUGAUUUUUCUCCCUGUGUGCAGUUUGGCUGCUCCAAGUUGCUUUUUCACAAAGAAAGGCAGUGUAUACAAGGAUGGAAAUGUGGUCAUUGGAGGGUUUUUUCCCCUUUACACUUUUAUGAUGGACAGUGGCAUCAACAGGCCUAUGGACUCAAUUUACACUCAAACCUUGGAGACCAGAGGCAUUUUCUGUUCAACACAAGAAAGCUUCUACCUAUCCAGCGAAAGUGUCCACAAAAACCAACAGAUAGUGAAAAUUACCCGCUGCCCAAGGUAUCAGAGUGAAAUCAAACUUUCAGUCUUGUCUUGCUCCAAUCCCUCUGGUUUGAACUCUUUUAUGAAAGGUGGAGGAUUUGUCUUUGGAAUUUUUUUUUGGGGGGGGGGAGGGAGAUCACUUCUGAACUACCAUUUAAGAGUUCAUGGUCAGUGAGGGCCUAUCAUAAACCAUGCAUCUAUCAGAUGGUAGUAGCAUCCCUUCCAAAAUGUGUAGUUUGAUGGAGAUGAGUGAUCACAUCUUCCAUCAAGUGUGCAGGGAUGGUUCCUUCCUUAUAAAGCCAAACUCCCCAUUAAUCAAGUAGUGACCAUUCUGAGGCUAAGCAAGACCCUAAUAAAAGCCCCACUCUCCUGCUCUACGUCAUUGCAGAAUAUUUGAACUUGAAGUCAGUUACAGUCAAGAGUGUGGACCAAGAGGAAGAUUUUGAGUUUCCAAUUUGAGCUUCUCUUUUCUCUAUGAUUUUUUCUAUAUGAUCUGAUUUUGUUUCCCUUGGAAACAUAACUAUCAGUCCAUUGAUGUCCAGAGCAGUGCAUAAUUACCACAUCUUUGGGCAGCAAGAUCACCUUGAAAAAGACCAGUAUUUUUCCUGCAUAUUUUAUUUCUUUGUUUCCUACAGUAAGAAAGCCCUUUCUUUCCAAGUAGUUCCAUGAACAUAAACCACAGAAAAUGUGAUUAGAAUCAGUACAGAUACUGAUUCUUGCUCCUUGUUCUAAAUACAGCACUAAUAGCGGUGAUAAUUUCUGACUUCUGGGCAGAGGCUCCAAGCAGCAAGGCUUUGUUAGUCUCUAGGAUCUGUUGUUGAGUUGCCACCAACUACCUGGGCUUCCUUUGCCCUUGAUUCAUGAAACCAGCUCCCAUGUGUAAAUAUAUCUAAGUCUAGGUAUUCUAAGGCCAGGGUAAUCAAGUCAGGCUGACUAGAACAUACUUCUUCAAUUACAAAUAUAUUCAAUCGUAAGUGAACUCC
Molecule: non-coding RNA, 1294 nt
Organism: Oryctolagus cuniculus (rabbit)
Lineage: Eukaryota; Metazoa; Chordata; Mammalia; Lagomorpha; Leporidae
Source: RefSeq, a predicted model, not a curated record